ACCCUGCUUCCAGGAAAAGCCACUAAGCUUCAGUCUAGAAUUGACCGUACCGCAAACCGACACAGGUGGGCAGGUAGAAGAUACUAAGGCGCUUGAGAGAACUCAGGAGAAGGAACUCGGCAAAUUGAUACCGUAACUUCGGGAGAAGGUAUGCCCUGGUAGCUUGUAGGAGAACAUCCGAAGGGCGACGGGGCCGCAGAGAAUCGGUGGCUGCGACUGUUUAUUAAAAACACAGCACUCUGCAAACACGAAAGUGGACGUAUAGGGUGUGACGCCUGCCCGGUGCCGGAAGGUUAAGUGAUGGGGUGCAAGCUCUUGAUCGAAGCCCCGGUAAACGGCGGCCGUAACUAUAACGGUCCUAAGGUAGCGAAAUUCCUUGUCGGGUAAGUUCCGACCUGCACGAAUGGCGUAACGAUGGCCACACUGUCUCCUCCUGAGACUCAGCGAAGUUGAAGUGUUUGUGAAGAUGCAAUCUCCCCGCGGCUAGACGGAAAGACCCCAUGAACCUUUACUGUAGCUUUGCAUUGGACUUUGACGGGACUUGUGUAGGAUAGGUGGGAGGCGCUGAGACCAGGACGCUAGUUCUGGUGGAGCCGUCCUUGAAAUACCACCCGGGUGUCGUUGAGGUUCUAACCUAGGUCCAUCAUCUGGAUCGGGGACCGUGCAUGGUAGGCAGUUUGACUGGGGCGGUCUCCUCCCAAAAGGUAACGGAGGAGUACGAAGGUCUUCUAGGUACGGUCGGACAUCGUACUGAUAGUGCAAUGGCAAAAGAAGGCUUGACUGCGAGACCGACAAGUCGAGCAGGUGCGAAAGCAGGUCAUAGUGAUCCGGUGGUUCUGUAUGGAAGGGCCAUCGCUCAACGGAUAAAAGGUACUCUGGGGAUAACAGGCUGAUUCCGCCCAAGAGUUCACAUCGACGGCGGAGUUUGGCACCUCGAUGUCGGCUCAUCACAUCCUGGGGCUGUAGCCGGUCCCAAGGGUAUGGCUGUUCGCCAUUUAAAGUGGUACGUGAGCUGGGUUUUAAAACGUCGUGAGACAGUUUGGUCCCUAUCUGCCGUGGGCGCUGGAUAUUUGAGGGGGCCUGCUCCUAGUACGAGUGGACCGGAGUGGACGGAUCUCUGGUGUACCGGUUGUGACGCCAGUCGCAUCGCCGGGUAGCUAAAUCCGGAAGAGAUAACCGCUGAAAGCAUCUAAGCGGGAAACUCGCCUCGAGAUGAGAUAUCCCUGGGAACUUGAUUCCCCUGAAGGGUCGUCGAAGACCACGACGUUGAUAGGUCGGGUGUGGAAGCGU
This 1290-nucleotide ribosomal RNA is filed under the name metagenome. RNAcentral describes it as "bacterial LSU rRNA". It matches the Rfam family "Bacterial large subunit ribosomal RNA", at positions 1599 to 2876 of the family's 2925-position model. The record is from RNAcentral.